GGUUUCCAAUUCCUCUAUCCCCA
Molecule: transfer RNA, 23 nt
Filed under: Cinnamomum bejolghota
Lineage: Eukaryota; Viridiplantae; Streptophyta; Magnoliopsida; Laurales; Lauraceae
Description: partial tRNA-Leu
Source: RNAcentral